Long non-coding RNA from Oreochromis aureus, 993 nucleotides. RefSeq lists it as uncharacterized. Lineage: Eukaryota; Metazoa; Chordata; Actinopteri; Cichliformes; Cichlidae. The transcript has 4 exons. The record is from RefSeq and is a predicted model, not a curated record.
AGAAUGGUACAGAGUGGUCUGGAAAACCGAUCAGCUGUCAGCUGGAAAACCCAGUCAGCAGUGAACACAGUGAUGACAUCAUCAUCCCAUUCACAAGCAGAAAUUUUCCUGUUAUGUUCAUGCGAUUAGUAUUUAUUGUGUUGCUGAUUGUGGUGGCCCUGUCUGGCUUCUUUAUUUGGCACAAACACAUAAAAGCUAAUCCAGCAUCAAGACCCGACCACAGAGACACUGUUUACAUCAGAGACAGCAGGAAAGAGGACAAAGAGGAGAUAAGAGGACACAUGCUCAGCCUGAGCAACCUGUGAUGAAGUCAAAUGAAUUCUGAGUCAUUGUUUCAAUCGAUCUCUCAGUGAGACGGACUACAGGUGGGACUCACAGGGUAUGGGAAAUGAAUUUUCGGUUCUUUAUUGAAUGUAUUCAUGAAUGUAAUCCUUGUUUACAUUGUUGUGCUGCUGCAGGCGAGUAUCAUUAUCUGUCCACCAGAGGUCGCCAUACACUCAGAUGGUUCAGCUUUUACUCGUGAAUGGUCUGUGUCAAAGGAAAAUCGUGUAUAUGUGAUCAGCUAUAUGAAAUGUAUCUUUUUAUUUUAUCAUUAAGCACAUGUCUAUGUGACUUUUCACCUAGUAACUUGUGUGAUGAACUUAUGCAGAUACUAACCGCUUCCUGUUUAAAGAACAUUUAGAUGUAGAGAAGUGAAACCUCAGCUCUUUUGCUAGAACAUACAGAUGUAGAGAAAAGGGGAAAAACCUGCUGUUUUGAGUGACGUUGUUAUCUUUGUAACACACACAACACACACACACACACAGUACAAUCUUGUAUAAAUAAAGGAUGCAGACAGUCAUGAGGCGCAGAUCCUGCGUUUCAUGGCUGCCCUCGCGGGUUAAAGAAAAUCUGCAGUGUUUGUGUGUUUUCUAACUCAGGUGUCUCAGCUGAACAAAGAACGGCAGGGUGAUUUAAAGAAAUCCCCUGUCAGUCUGUAAAGCUGGAUGACAG